This 31-nucleotide non-coding RNA is filed under the name Mus musculus (house mouse). The record is from RNAcentral. Lineage: Eukaryota; Metazoa; Chordata; Mammalia; Rodentia; Muridae.
UCCCCAGCAUGAUGCUCUAAGAUAUAAAAUU